Molecule: ribosomal RNA, 1249 nt
Filed under: Parabacteroides distasonis
Lineage: Bacteria; Pseudomonadati; Bacteroidota; Bacteroidia; Bacteroidales; Tannerellaceae
Description: bacterial SSU rRNA
Rfam family: Bacterial small subunit ribosomal RNA
Source: RNAcentral
ACGAUGGAUAGGGGUUCUGAGAGGAAGGUCCCCCACAUUGGUACUGAGACACGGACCAAACUCCUACGGGAGGCAGCAGUGAGGAAUAUUGGUCAAUGGCCGAGAGGCUGAACCAGCCAAGUCGCGUGAGGGAUGAAGGUUCUAUGGAUCGUAAACCUCUUUUAUAAGGGAAUAAAGUGCGGGACGUGUCCCGUUUUGUAUGUACCUUAUGAAUAAGGAUCGGCUAACUCCGUGCCAGCAGCCGCGGUAAUACGGAGGAUCCGAGCGUUAUCCGGAUUUAUUGGGUUUAAAGGGUGCGUAGGCGGCCUUUUAAGUCAGCGGUGAAAGUCUGUGGCUCAACCAUAGAAUUGCCGUUGAAACUGGGGGGCUUGAGUAUGUUUGAGGCAGGCGGAAUGCGUGGUGUAGCGGUGAAAUGCAUAGAUAUCACGCAGAACCCCGAUUGCGAAGGCAGCCUGCCAAGCCAUGACUGACGCUGAUGCACGAAAGCGUGGGGAUCAAACAGGAUUAGAUACCCUGGUAGUCCACGCAGUAAACGAUGAUCACUAGCUGUUUGCGAUACACUGUAAGCGGCACAGCGAAAGCGUUAAGUGAUCCACCUGGGGAGUACGCCGGCAACGGUGAAACUCAAAGGAAUUGACGGGGGCCCGCACAAGCGGAGGAACAUGUGGUUUAAUUCGAUGAUACGCGAGGAACCUUACCCGGGUUUGAACGCAUUCGGACCGAGGUGGAAACACCUUUUCUAGCAAUAGCCGUUUGCGAGGUGCUGCAUGGUUGUCGUCAGCUCGUGCCGUGAGGUGUCGGCUUAAGUGCCAUAACGAGCGCAACCCUUGCCACUAGUUACUAACAGGUAAAGCUGAGGACUCUGGUGGGACUGCCAGCGUAAGCUGCGAGGAAGGCGGGGAUGACGUCAAAUCAGCACGGCCCUUACAUCCGGGGCGACACACGUGUUACAAUGGCGUGGACAAAGGGAAGCCACCUGGCGACAGGGAGCGAAUCCCCAAACCACGUCUCAGUUCGGAUCGGAGUCUGCAACCCGACUCCGUGAAGCUGGAUUCGCUAGUAAUCGCGCAUCAGCCAUGGCGCGGUGAAUACGUUCCCGGGCCUUGUACACACCGCCCGUCAAGCCAUGGGAGCCGGGGGUACCUGAAGUCCGUAACCGCGAGGAUCGGCCUAGGGUAAAACUGGUGACUGGGGCUAAGUCGUAACAAGGUAGCCGUACCGGAAGGUGCGGCUGGAACACCUCCUUUCU